GACAAAAAUGUUAAAUAGCCGCGGUAUUUUGACCGUGCAAAGGUAGCAUAAUCAUUAGUUUUUUAAUUGAAAACUUGUAUGAAUGGUUGGACAAAGAAAAAGCUGUCUCUUUUAUUUAAAUUGAAAUUAACUUCUAAGUGAAAAGGCUUAGAUUUUUUAGAGGGACGAUAAGACCCUAUAAAGCUUUAUAAGUUAAGUAAGUUAAAUUAAUUUUUUAAAAUAAAAAUAAGCUUAAAAAAUUUAUUUGGUUGGGGCGACAAUGGUAUAAAUUAAAUAACUGCUAUUAAAAUUAAGCAAUUAUAUUUGAUUAGAAUUAUAAUUGAUCCUUAUUAUGGAUUAAAAGAUCAAGUUACUUUAGGGAUAACAGCGUAAUUUCUUUUGAGAGUUCUUAUCAAAGAAGAAGUUUGCGACCUCGAUGUUGAAUUAAAAUGUCUUUAUAGUGCAGAAGCUAUAAAAGAAGGUCUGUUCGACCUUUAAUUUUUUACAUGAUCUGAGUUCAGACCGGA
RNAcentral lists this ribosomal RNA (506 nucleotides) under Scylla paramamosain (green mud crab). Its description in RNAcentral is "partial 16S ribosomal RNA". It matches the Rfam family "Bacterial large subunit ribosomal RNA", at positions 1910 to 2620 of the family's 2925-position model. The record is from RNAcentral. Lineage: Eukaryota; Metazoa; Arthropoda; Malacostraca; Decapoda; Portunidae.